RNAcentral lists this ribosomal RNA (422 nucleotides) under Laparocerus cryptus. Its description in RNAcentral is "partial 16S ribosomal RNA". The record is from RNAcentral. Lineage: Eukaryota; Metazoa; Arthropoda; Insecta; Coleoptera; Curculionidae.
GGUAUUUUGACCGUGCAAAGGUAGCAUAAUCAUUAGUUUUUUAAUUGAAAGCUGGAAUGAAAGGUUGGAUGAGAAAGAAGCUGUCUCUAUUUAAUUUAUUUAGAAUUUUAUUUUUAAGUUAAAAAGCUUAAAUUUUAAUAGAAGACGAGAAGACCCUAUAGAGUUUGAUUAAUUUUUUUAAUAAAGUUAAUAGGAUUUUUUAUUUUUAUGAAAAAAAUUAAUUUAGUUGGGGUGAUUGAAAAAUUAAAUAAACUUUUUUUUUAUGAAUACAUAAAUUUAUGAGUAGUUGAUCCUUAGUUAGAGAUUAAAAGAUAAAAUUACCUUAGGGAUAACAGCGUAAUUUUUUUUGAGAGUUCAAAUCGAAAGAAAAGAUUGCGACCUCGAUGUUGGAUUAAAAUAAAAUUUUGGUGUAGAAGCUAAAG